This is a non-coding RNA of Oryzias latipes (Japanese medaka), 319 nucleotides long. Lineage: Eukaryota; Metazoa; Chordata; Actinopteri; Beloniformes; Adrianichthyidae. The record is from Rfam.
GCGUGUGUGAGCGAGAGCGAUUGUCUGAGUGAAUGUGUGAAAGCAUGUGUGUUUUAUUUAUUUAUUUUAAUGUAAAAACCUACACACUGAUCUUAUUUGAUCUGGUCAGAGUUUGGCUCUGCUCCGACCGGAAAUGAUAGGAAACGCGCUGGCGAGCCCCCGCGGCCAUGAGACGCCGGCGACCAAAAUCGAAAGGGCCGCCACGCUUCGUGCUGUGGUCAGAGAUGAUGAAUUGAUCAGAUAUACUAGUUCUUUGUGAGCUUGCGGUUCGCCUCAGGUUUCACGCAGGACAAUGAGUAUAGAGGCGAUUCUGAUCUAA